UACGGAGGAUGCGAGCGUUAUCCGGAUUCAUUGGGUUUAAAGGGUGCGUAGGCGGUUUUUUAAGUCAGUGGUGAAAUCCUGCGGCUCAACCGUAGAACUGCCAUUGAUACUGAGAAACUUGAAUAUAGUUGAGGUAGGCGGAAUGAGUAGUGUAGCGGUGAAAUGCUUAGAUAUUACUCAGAACACCGAUUGCGAAGGCAGCUUGCUAAGCUAUAAUUGACGCUGAUGCACGAAAGCGUGGGGAUCAAACAGG
This 253-nucleotide ribosomal RNA is filed under the name uncultured bacterium. RNAcentral describes it as "partial 16S ribosomal RNA". It matches the Rfam family "Bacterial small subunit ribosomal RNA", at positions 524 to 776 of the family's 1533-position model. The record is from RNAcentral.